Molecule: ribosomal RNA, 484 nt
Filed under: uncultured bacterium
Lineage: Bacteria
Description: partial 16S ribosomal RNA
Rfam family: Bacterial small subunit ribosomal RNA
Source: RNAcentral
GAUGAACGCUGGCGGCGUGCUUAACACAUGCAAGUCGAACGGUGAAAGCGGAGCUUGCUCUGCUGGAUCAGUGGCGAACGGGUGAGUAACACGUGAGCAAUCUGCCCCUGACUCUGGGAUAAGCGCUGGAAACGGCGUCUAAUACCGGAUACGAGCUGCGAAGGCAUCUUCAGCAGCUGGAAAGAACUUCGGUCAGGGAUGAGCUCGCGGCCUAUCAGCUAGUUGGUGAGGUAACGGCUCACCAAGGCGUCGUCGGGUAGCCGGCCUGAGAGGGUGACCGGCCACACUGGGACUGAGACACGGCCCAGACUCCUACGGGAGGCAGCAGUGGGGAAUAUUGCACAAUGGGCGCAAGCCUGAUGCAGCAACGCCGCGUGAGGGAUGACGGCCUUCGGGUUGUAAACCUCCUUUAGCAGGGAAGAAGCGAAAGUGACGGUACCUGCAGAAAAAGCACCGGCUAACUACGUGCCAGCCGCCGCCGUAA